GGCCUGCUGGCGCAAUUGGUUAGCGCGUCGAGCUAAUAACUCGAAGGUUGGCGGUUCAAGCCCGCCGUGGGCCA
Transfer RNA from Exidia glandulosa HHB12029, 74 nucleotides. It matches the Rfam family "tRNA". Rfam says of the family: Transfer RNA (tRNA) molecules are approximately 80 nucleotides in length. Their secondary structure includes four short double-helical elements and three loops (D, anti-codon, and T loops). The record is from Rfam. Lineage: Eukaryota; Fungi; Basidiomycota; Agaricomycetes; Auriculariales; Exidiaceae.